AAUAAUUGAUUUAUAAUUAAUUCUUUUUUCCUUUUUUUCCAAAAAAUAAUUAUAUUCUUAGUAGAAAGUUUAUUGAAUAGCAUUUUUAUAAAUUAUAUUUUAUUAGUACUGUGAAGGAAAAUCUCUUCAUUGCUGAAAAGAAUCCUUUAUUUGGAGUACCUUUUGUAUCAGGGUUUAUCAAAAUUAUUUUAAUAUAUUAAUACAUCCCGAAAUUAUGAGAUAUAUAUUAUUAUGGAGGUUGUUGUUACAAUAACAUCUUGAAUAGUAAUAUAGAGGUUAUAUGUCUUUCGUUCAUAAUAUAUCUGGUUUCUAAAGAUUCGAAUUUAAUUCGACUAUUUUAUUUCAUCAAAAUUACAUUUGUAGUGAUAUAAGAUUGAAAAAUUAACAGGGAUUAGCUUGUUAAUAAUAUAUAAUAUUAUAAUUUAUAUAUUUUUAGUAGGAUUAGAAACUUCCAUCAUUAAUUUCGUUAUAGUUUAUUUUAAUGUUCAUAUAAUUUAGUAUAUAUUUAUUUUUAUAUUUAGAUUAUUUUAGUAAUAGAAAAUAAAAUUGUAUAAAUGAUUUAAUUAGUAUUUUUAAAAAUAAGAUAUAGUAAUUCGGCAAAUCAAAUCCUCGCCUGUUUAACAAAAACAUGUCUUUUUGUUUUUUAUAUAAAGUCAGACCUGCCCAAUGAAUUUUAAAUGGCCGCAGUACUUUAACUGUGCAAAGGUAGCAUAAUAAUUUGUUUUUUAAUUGGAAACUAGUAUGAAUGGUCAUACGAGGGAUUGACUUUCUUUAUCUUACUUAAAUUAAUUUUAUUUUUCUGUGAAAAAGCAGAGAUUUCAUUAGUAGACGAUAAGACCCUUUAAAACUUUAUUCAUUAUAGAAGUAUAAUUUUGUUAGGUUUUAAUAGUGUACUUUUUUAAUGAGUUUUGUUGGGGCGACAGGUAAAUUUAUUUAACUUUAUUUUUGUUUUUCACUAAUUAGUGUUUAUUUGAUCCAGAUUUAGUUUUGAUUAUAAGUUUAAGUUACUUAAGGGAUAACAGCGUAAUCUUGUUGGAGAGUUCUUAUUGAUGGCGAGGUUUGCGACCUCGAUGUUGGAUUAAAAUUAAUAUUAGGUGUAGCCGCUUAAUAAUUAGGUCUGUUCGACCUUUAAUUUUUUACAUGAUCUGAGUUCAGACCGGCGUGAGCCAGGUCGGUUUCUAUCUUUAAUUAGUAUUAAUUACUCUAGUACGAGAGGACCGAGUAGUUGGAAUAAUUUUUUUAAUUGAUCAUUAUU
RNAcentral lists this ribosomal RNA (1255 nucleotides) under Cimex lectularius (bed bug). RNAcentral's name for it is "16S ribosomal RNA". The stretch from base 797 to 1255 matches the Rfam family "Bacterial large subunit ribosomal RNA", at positions 2048 to 2732 of the family's 2925-position model. The record is from RNAcentral. Lineage: Eukaryota; Metazoa; Arthropoda; Insecta; Hemiptera; Cimicidae.